GCCGGGUGUGGUGACACACACCUGUAAUCUCAGGACUUGGGAGGCUGAGUUGGGAGGAUUGCUUGAACCCAGGAGGCGGAGGUUCAGUGAGCCGAGGUUGGGCCACUGCACUUCAGCCUGGGUGACAAAGUGAGAUUCUGUCUCAA
RNAcentral lists this non-coding RNA (146 nucleotides) under Chlorocebus sabaeus (green monkey). Lineage: Eukaryota; Metazoa; Chordata; Mammalia; Primates; Cercopithecidae. The record is from Rfam by way of RNAcentral.